Molecule: long non-coding RNA, 482 nt
Organism: Melitaea cinxia (Glanville fritillary)
Lineage: Eukaryota; Metazoa; Arthropoda; Insecta; Lepidoptera; Nymphalidae
Exons: 3
Source: RefSeq, a predicted model, not a curated record
AUUAUUAUGUUUAUCAUAUUGUUAUAGAUUUGCGAGAUUUUAAUAUUUUUUUGUACAUAAAUUUCAACAUUAGGUCAUUAUCUCGAACAUGUCUCCACCAUCAUGUGUUACACUAGAAGAGAUCCAUGCUCAUUUUCACUCAAUACUGAUCCAAGGAUGGUGUUAUUUUGCUUGUGGAUGACGAGUUGAUAUUAUAUAAGAUAUGAAUUUUACUAUUUCCAAUAAUCUUUCAGUGGAGGUUUCUUUCUCUCAACAACCAGAAAUUGUUAUUGAUACUACAUCAUCUAUAGAAGAUAUAAAAAUGUAUAUGGAAACUCUGCAAGCCUCUAUUUUAUGUAAAGGAACUGACAUACACUAUAGGUGAAAAUUGAAAAUAAACUUAAAGAUUCACCUAAAUCGAGGCACCAUCUGGAACUGUGACACCUGAAGUAAAAACAAGCAUCAAGUACAUCUUUUAGUAGUAGUGUGAAAAGAAAGAAAGU